GGAAGUAAAAGUCGUAACAAGGUUUCCGUAGGUGAACCUGCGGAAGGAUCAUUACCGAGUGAGGGCCCUUUGGGUCCAACCUCCCACCCGUGUUUAUUUUACCUUGUUGCUUCGGCGGGCCCGCCUUUACUGGCCGCCGGGGGGCUCACGCCCCCGGGCCCGCGCCCGCCGAAGACACCCCCGAACUCUGUCUGAAGAUUGAAGUCUGAGUGAAAAUAUAAAUUAUUUAAAACUUUCAACAACGGAUCUCUUGGUUCCGGCAUCGAUGAAGAACGCAGCGAAAUGCGAUACGUAAUGUGAAUUGCAAAUUCAGUGAAUCAUCGAGUCUUUGAACGCACAUUGCGCCCCCUGGUAUUCCGGGGGGCAUGCCUGUCCGAGCGUCAUUGCUGCCCUCAAGCCCGGCUUGUGUGUUGGGCCCCGUCCUCCGAUUCCGGGGGACGGGCCCGAAAGGCAGCGGCGGCACCGCGUCCGGUCCUCGAGCGUAUGGGGCUUUGUCACCCGCUCUGUAGGCCCGGCCGGCGCUUGCCGAUCAACCCAAAUUUUUAUCCAGGUUGACCUCGGAUCAGGUAGGGAUACCCGCUGAACUUAAGCAUAUCAAUAAGCGGAGGA
RNAcentral lists this non-coding RNA (609 nucleotides) under Penicillium polonicum. RNAcentral's name for it is "eukaryotic LSU rRNA". The stretch from base 231 to 383 matches the Rfam family "5.8S ribosomal RNA". Lineage: Eukaryota; Fungi; Ascomycota; Eurotiomycetes; Eurotiales; Aspergillaceae. The record is from RNAcentral. RNAcentral also lists the same sequence under 1 other name.